This is a long non-coding RNA of Vidua chalybeata, 486 nucleotides long. RefSeq lists it as uncharacterized. The transcript is spliced from 2 exons. The record is from RefSeq and is a predicted model, not a curated record. Lineage: Eukaryota; Metazoa; Chordata; Aves; Passeriformes; Viduidae.
ACAUACAGAAGAGUUUAGUUACGGGAAAACGUGUUUGCUCUCUGCCCACCUAUGUCCUUGAAACCCAAGUUUCAGGCAGCCGGCGCAGAGCGGUGACAGUGAUAACGUCUUCGGCCCACGAGCUGCUGUAAAGCCGCGUCUUUUUGAGGGGUCUCAGAGGGAUCUCUGAGUAGAAGUCUUGGACAUGCAGGAGGUUACUGCUUAGAGCAGGUGCUACCUGUUCUGAGGAAUGCUUAGGCAGGGCCUCACGGAUGGAGAGCGUCUUAGCAUCCUGAUGUUAAUUCAGAUGAAGAUUAUCUACAGCCAAUGUCCUUAAUAGCAUCCCCUGUUCUUGGCAGCCUGGCUAUCAUGAUGGAGAAGUUACAGGAGUUCAUUUUAUGGUGGUGUGAGAAUGGGUCCACUGACUACCUUGUCAGAAGUGAAAUGGCCUGGGACAUGAUACAGAGAACAGAGACAUAGCUUCAGUAAAGCUGAUGCAGUCAAAUU